Long non-coding RNA from Gadus macrocephalus (Pacific cod), 682 nucleotides. RefSeq lists it as uncharacterized. The record is from RefSeq and is a predicted model, not a curated record. The transcript is spliced from 2 exons. NCBI's taxonomy places the organism in Eukaryota, Metazoa, Chordata, Actinopteri, Gadiformes, Gadidae.
AGACACCCGAAGUGCUUUUGGCGUAAUUUGACGUCAUUUCGAAUGACGCCAAACACGUCAAAUGACGCGUUUGGCGUCAUUUGGCGUCAUUUCGGGAGAAGGCAAAGGGGAGACUGGUUUAGACUGAUAUUUAUUUAUAUAUUUAUUUAUAUUACAAUAGCGAUUUUAUAAUAAUAGAACGCCGGUUCUAAAUGGGCAUUGAGGGUCUUCCUUAACACAAUCUGGUCACUCACAAUCGUCAUUUGUCUAGGGUUCUCGAGGGUCUUUCGUGUGUUGAGGUUGCCGAUAUAAAGACGAUAAAACACGAUAAAGCGCGGAAGAUUAACGAAUAUAGCCGAUGUGCCCAGGAAAAUUCCCGAACGAUUUGCGAUGUCUUACGUUAUACUCCCGUUCUAUUCCCGAUUAUAGCCGAUUAGCCCAUAGCAACACCUGGUAACCGAUUCUACCCCGAUAGACCCAAAAUUAACAAACAUGUUCGUUCUUUGCCGAUGUUGCCCGUUGUUGCCCGAUCAUUGAGCAUUUCUUCCCGUUUCUUCCCGUUGUCUAACGAUGUUCCCGGGAAGAGUAACGGUGUUUCCCGAUGCAACCACGCUAUUUGCCGAUGUUAUAACGAUAGCUGCUGAUUUAGCCAUCGGGCACCAUCGGGGCCCACUAUCGGGUAGGUGUAAACAGGGCAUAACCA